This 234-nucleotide ribosomal RNA is filed under the name uncultured bacterium. RNAcentral's name for it is "partial 16S ribosomal RNA". It matches the Rfam family "Bacterial small subunit ribosomal RNA", at positions 118 to 353 of the family's 1533-position model. The record is from RNAcentral.
UGAGCAAUCUGCCCUUCUCAUCGGAAUAACCAUUGGAAACGAUGGCUAAUGCCGAAUACGACCUCCUUUCGCAUGAUCGGAGGUGGAAAGCUCCGGCGGUGAAGGAUGAGCUCGCGGCCUAUCAGCUUGUUGGUGGGGUAACGCCCACCAAGGCUUCGACGGGUAGCCGGCCUGAGAGGGUGACCGGCCACACUGGGACUGAGACACGGCCCAGACCUCCGUACGGGAGCAGCG